AGUCACUGACAUUAGAUACCCGGGUAGUCCCAGCUGUAAACUAUGUGCGUUAGGUGUGUCAGUGACCACGUGUCACUGAGGUGCCGAAGGGAACCGUGAAACGCACCGCCGUGGGAGUACGGUCGCAAGGCUAGAAAACUUAAAGGAAUUGGCGGGGAGCACCACAAGAGGUGGAGGCUGCGGUUCAAUUGGACUCAACGCCGGAAAACUCAUCGGGAGCGACAGCAGUAUGAUUGCCAGGUUGAUGACCUUGCUUGACAAGCUG
RNAcentral lists this ribosomal RNA (265 nucleotides) under uncultured archaeon. Its description in RNAcentral is "partial 16S ribosomal RNA". It matches the Rfam family "Archaeal small subunit ribosomal RNA", at positions 719 to 982 of the family's 1478-position model. The record is from RNAcentral.